UACGUAGGGCGCAAGCGUUAUCCGGAAUUAUUGGGCGUAAAGAGCUCGUAGGCGGUUUGUCGCGUCUGCCGUGAAAGUCCGGGGCUCAACUCCGGAUCUGCGGUGGGUACGGGCAGACUAGAGUGAUGUAGGGGAGACUGGAAUUCCUGGUGUAGCGGUGAAAUGCGCAGAUAUCAGGAGGAACACCGAUGGCGAAGGCAGGUCUCUGGGCAUUUAACUGACGCUGAGGAGCGAAAAGCAUGGGGGAGC
RNAcentral lists this ribosomal RNA (249 nucleotides) under uncultured bacterium. RNAcentral's name for it is "partial 16S ribosomal RNA". It matches the Rfam family "Bacterial small subunit ribosomal RNA", at positions 524 to 769 of the family's 1533-position model. The record is from RNAcentral.